CCUGGUGUAGCUCAGCAGGUUGGAGCGCCCCGCUGAUAACGGGAAGGACGGCGGUUCGAGCCCGCCCGCCAGGAC
RNAcentral lists this transfer RNA (75 nucleotides) under Actinoplanes siamensis. RNAcentral describes it as "tRNA-Ile". It matches the Rfam family "tRNA". From Rfam's summary of the family: Transfer RNA (tRNA) molecules are approximately 80 nucleotides in length. Their secondary structure includes four short double-helical elements and three loops (D, anti-codon, and T loops). The record is from RNAcentral. Lineage: Bacteria; Bacillati; Actinomycetota; Actinomycetes; Micromonosporales; Micromonosporaceae.